This 497-nucleotide ribosomal RNA is filed under the name uncultured bacterium. RNAcentral describes it as "partial 16S ribosomal RNA". It matches the Rfam family "Bacterial small subunit ribosomal RNA", at positions 28 to 507 of the family's 1533-position model. The record is from RNAcentral.
GAUGAACGCUGGCGGCGUGCCUAAUACAUGCAAGUCGAGCGAACGGACGAGAAGCUUGCUUCUCUGAUGUUAGCGGCGGACGGGUGAGUAACACGUGGAUAACCUACCUAUAAGACUGGGAUAACUUCGGGAAACCGGAGCUAAUACCGGAUAAUAUUUUGAACCGCAUGGUUCAAAAGUGAAAGACGGUCUUGCUGUCACUUAUAGAUGGAUCCGCGCUGCAUUAGCUAGUUGGUAAGGUAACGGCUUACCAAGGCAACGAUGCAUAGCCGACCUGAGAGGGUGAUCGGCCACACUGGAACUGAGACACGGUCCAGACUCCUACGGGAGGCAGCAGUAGGGAAUCGUCCGCAAUGGGCGAAAACCGGACGGAGCAACGCCGCGUGAGUGAUGAAGGUCUUCGGAUCGUAAAACUCUGUUAGUAGGGAAGAACAUAUGUGUAAUUAACUGUGCACAUCUUGACGGUACCUAAUCAGAAAGCCACGGCUAACUACGUG